Long non-coding RNA from Ictalurus punctatus (channel catfish), 406 nucleotides. The record is from Ensembl. NCBI's taxonomy places the organism in Eukaryota, Metazoa, Chordata, Actinopteri, Siluriformes, Ictaluridae.
CCAGUUUCAUCCACCCAAAUCCAGUCCAUCUGAUUCUGUUUUCUGUAUUAUGUAUUUUUCAUUUGCUGUGGCAUUCAGGAAAGUGGGUUUUAUGGUCAUUUUGACUCACAAAAAACGGGUUAUGAUAGAUAUAGGGUUAUGAUAGAUAUAGGGUUAUGAUAGAUAUAGGGUUAUGAUAGAUAUAGGGUUAUGAUAGGGAUAGGGUUAUGAUAGAUAUAGGGUUAUGAUAGGGAUAGGGUUAUGAUAGAUAUAGGGUUAUGAUAGAUUCAGGGUUAUGAUAGAUAUAGGGUUAUGAUAGAUAUAGGGUUAUGAUAGGGAUAGGGUUAUGAUAGAUAUAGGGUUAUGAUAGAUAUAGGGUUAUGAUAGGGAUAGGGUUAUGAUAGAUAUAGGGUUAUGAUAGGGAUAG